AUAUGAACAGAGAUAGAGGAUGCAUGGGAUUUGGUCAACAAAAUGAGUGAUGGGAAAGUCAAGGUUGAUGAUGUGUCUGGUACUUUGGAGAGCUUGGGGAUGAAGUUACCUGAUGAAGACCUUCUAGACGUUCUAAAAUUGAUUCAACCUGAUGAUGAUGGAUUAGUAAAAAUAAAGGAUGUUGUCGAGACAUUAGCUAAGACUCCACAAGUUACUAGGCCUCAUGGAUUAAAAAAUGCAUGGACUGUCGUCAACAGUGUCACUGAUGGGAAGAUCAAGAUGUCUGAUCUGUCCCCAGCCCUGGAGAGCUGGGGAUUUGAGUUAACUGAUGAAAAGCUUAAAGAGACAGUGAAAUCUAUGGAGUCUGUUGAACCGGAAAGUGUGAAUUUACAAGAUCUUAUCAAGAAAUACACUAAGGCCAAGAAAUUGAGUAAGAACCAAAAAUUACAAGAUGCCUGGACUGUUGUCAACGCUGUCUCAGAUGGUAAAGUAAAGCCUUCUGAUCUGAGAUCUAUACUAGAAAGCAUUGGUUUGGAUUUAAAUCCAGAAGAAAUUAAAGAAAUACUGAAAUAUGUGCACAUUGAUGAGAAUGGAACAAUAAAUUUAAAUGAUGUUAUCAAUAAAUUGACAUACUUGCAGAAAUGGAAUGACAGCCAAAGGAUACGACAUGCAUAUAUUAUUGUCACUAAUGUCAAGGAUGGGAAAGUCAAGAUGAUGAUCUGCCAUCUACCUUGGAGAACUUGGGAUUCGAUUUAG
RNAcentral lists this long non-coding RNA (756 nucleotides) under Phascolarctos cinereus (koala). RNAcentral's name for it is "lncRNA (ENSPCIG00000036454.1)". Lineage: Eukaryota; Metazoa; Chordata; Mammalia; Diprotodontia; Phascolarctidae. The record is from RNAcentral.